RNAcentral lists this ribosomal RNA (390 nucleotides) under uncultured bacterium. RNAcentral's name for it is "bacterial SSU rRNA". It matches the Rfam family "Bacterial small subunit ribosomal RNA", at positions 28 to 417 of the family's 1533-position model. The record is from RNAcentral.
GACGAACGCUGGCGGCGUGCUUAACACAUGCAAGUCGAGCGGUAAGGCCCUUUCGGGGGUACGACGAGCGGCGAACGGGUGAGUAACACGUGGGUGACCUGCCCUCAGCUCUGUGAUAAGCCCGGGAAACUGGGUCUAAUACCGGAUAUGACCUCAUGACGCAUGUUGUGGAGUGGAAAGCCUUGUGCGGCUGAGGAUGGGCCCGCGGCCUAUCAGCUUGUUGGUGGGGUGAUGGCCUACCAAGGCGACGACGGGUAGCCGGCCUGAGAGGGCGACCGGCCACACUGGGACUGAGAUACGGCCCAGACUCCUACGGGAGGCAGCAGUGGGGAAGUCUUGCGCAAUGGGCGAAAGCCUGACGCAGCGACGCCGCGUGAGGGAUGACGGCCU